This is a long non-coding RNA of Alligator mississippiensis (American alligator), 1893 nucleotides long. RefSeq lists it as uncharacterized. The record is from RefSeq and is a predicted model, not a curated record. The transcript is spliced from 3 exons. Lineage: Eukaryota; Metazoa; Chordata; Crocodylia; Alligatoridae.
UUUAAAAUAUUUAUUUUUUUCACAGGGCCCAUUUGUAAGGAGUGCUCUAAGCUGUCUUGCAAGUGUUACCAUCAAGAGCUAUAACUGACAUCAUCAGUGAUAUGUAAUUUAAUCUGUGUUUCAGAGAAGCCCUUCUUUUCACAAACAUCCUGAACUGGAGCCCCAAGAGACUAUCUUUUUUGCCAGGCAGUAUGUAAAUGUUUGCCAGCAUUGUGGGAUCACGGAGUAUCUGAAGUAAUUCAAAUAUUAUGAAGUGGCAUGACAAUCCCUGCAUUUCUCUUCCAGCUUCUUCAACAUCUUCAUAAAUUAUCUGGAUUUGGACAUCAGACGCGGACUGGCAAAGUUCGCAGACAACACCAAACUAUGGGGGAAAGCGGUCACAUUGGAGGACAGGUUGGGGAUACAGGCUGACCUGGACAGGCUCGCAAGGUGGACAGACCAAAACCUGAUGGCAUUUAACACAGAGAAAUGUAGGGUGCUCCACCUUGGGAUGAAGAACCAGCAUCAUGCUUAUAGGCUCAGCAGUGCUACACCCACUAGCACUACGGUCGAAGAAGACGUGGGGGUCUUGGUUGACCACAAGAUGAACAUGAGCCACCAAUGUGAUGCCAUAGCUGGCAACACAGACCAAACUCUGGCAUGCAUCCGCUGAUGCACCUCAAGCAAAACCAGGGACGUUAUCCUCCCACUCUACUCACCCUUAGUCAUACUACAGCUAGAGUACUGGAUGCAGUUUUGGGGCCCCCCCACUUUAGGGGGACAUGGAUAAGCUUGAAAGAGUCCAAAGGAGAGCAACCUGCAUGAUCAAAGGCCAAGAAAGCAAGCCUUAUGAGGAGAGGCUGAGAGACAUGGGACUCUUCAGCCUAGAGAAGAGAAAGCUCAAGGGGAACUUGGUGGCAGCCUAUAAGUAUAUAAGGGGGGGUGCAGCAGGAUCUAGGAGAACAGUUGUUCACCAGGGCUCCCCAAGGGAUAACAAGGUCUAAUGACCACAAAUGUCUGGAAGGCUGAUUUAGACUGGACAUAAGGAAAAACUCAUUCACAGUCUGUGUGUCCAGGGUCUGGAACAGACUCCCCCCAGAGGUGGUGCAAGCACUUACUCUGGACUCAUUAAAAAGGUGUUUGAAUGCAUAUCUUGCUGGGAUCAUUUGACCCCAGCAGACUUCCUGCCUACAGCAGUGGGGCUGGACUCGAUCUCAUGAGGUCCCUUCCAGCCCCUAAUGUCUAAGAAAUCUAUGAAGCUGAGGCUUUUAGAUACUUUUACUGCUUAGAUGUAACCUGAAGGCGAGGAAUCAAGGUAUCCGAGACAGGCCUAAUCUUGGAAACAUUUGUUGUUAUUAUUAUUAUUAUUAUUAUUAUUAGGGGUUCCAAGAGAUUUACACACACAAAAUGUUUGCAGAACCAGGCCUAUUCCUCCAAACAGACACUCAAGACUGUACACAACAAGUCUCUUGAAAAGGGUAGAAAAGGAAUUUUUGUAACUAAUUCUGCUACAUACUGUUUCCCACAACAUUGAGCAGUCUUCAGUUAACAUGUGAGCACAGACAUAGACUAAAACACAAUGAUGAUAUAAGUUAGAUAAUAAGCAUGCAUCAGGACCUCCAAUUUUAGAUCUUUAUCAAUAAAUAAUAAAAAUUCACUACUUUUCCCCCACUGUGUUUACUGUUGUCAGCCAGCCAUAAUUCUACUUGUCUGUUACAAUAUUCUCUUAUGUUUUCUGGUUGUAACAUCUCCAUUGCUACAAUUAUCAAUUAUUAUGGGGAUAGCAUACACAAAUAGAAUUAAACUGUUCUGGAUAGAAAAUUGUGCAAAGCAUAUCACACAAAACCCAAGAGUUACUAUACUGCAAAGCAACACAUCACAGGAGCAGUGGACACAUGAUGGCGCUGACUGAAA